Mastomys coucha (southern multimammate mouse) is the source of this 507-nucleotide long non-coding RNA. RefSeq lists it as uncharacterized. Lineage: Eukaryota; Metazoa; Chordata; Mammalia; Rodentia; Muridae. The record is from RefSeq and is a predicted model, not a curated record. The transcript has 2 exons.
AUCGGGCCUGCCCGCCCCACACUGCCCGUAGCCACGGCCUACCUCCCCGCCCGCCGCUCGCACGCCGCUCCGCCCACCCGGCCCAGGCCCGCCCCUUCCCGCGCCCUAGUUCAGCCUGCGCCCGCCCACAGGUCUCCGAGGAUCCCGGCUGCCCAGGGUGCGAGGCAAAGCCUCCGGAAUUUUCUGAAUUGCUCAAAUGUCUGACCUCAGAUUUCCCAGGAUCCUCCUCCUUCGAAGGCCUCUAACAGGAAGUCGGGAAAACAGCACUGGAGGGCUGAGAGAACAAUGACCUAACCCUGCGGAAGGGAAAAGACCGGACCCCAAGAUGACUCAGCAACAGGACCGGUAUAGGCACUUGCUGUCUGUCCUCACGACCUGAGUUCUGUCCCGGGAUCCCACAGGUUAGGAGUGAACUGAUUCUAGCAGUUUGUCCUAUGACUUCCACACUUGCCCCAAGGCCCACAUGUGAACGUAUGUAAACAUAAAAUAAAUACAUGUCAGAACAGA